Molecule: transfer RNA, 72 nt
Filed under: Sphaerodactylus townsendi
Lineage: Eukaryota; Metazoa; Chordata; Lepidosauria; Squamata; Sphaerodactylidae
Description: tRNA-Ala
Rfam family: tRNA
About the family: Transfer RNA (tRNA) molecules are approximately 80 nucleotides in length. Their secondary structure includes four short double-helical elements and three loops (D, anti-codon, and T loops). Further hydrogen bonds mediate the characteristic L-shaped molecular structure. tRNAs have two regions of fundamental functional importance: the anti-codon, which is responsible for specific mRNA codon recognition, and the 3' end, to which the tRNAs corresponding amino acid is attached (by aminoacyl-tRNA synthetases). tRNAs cope with the degeneracy of the genetic code in two manners: having more than one tRNA (with a specific anti-codon) for a particular amino acid; and 'wobble' base-pairing, i.e. permitting non-standard base-pairing at the 3rd anti-codon position.
Source: RNAcentral
GGGAGUGUGGCUCAGUGGAAGAACCUCUGCCUUGCAUGCUGAAGGUCCCAGGUUCAAUCCCCAGCAUCUCUA